This 64-nucleotide transfer RNA is filed under the name Hydatigera taeniaeformis. RNAcentral describes it as "tRNA-Val". The record is from RNAcentral. Lineage: Eukaryota; Metazoa; Platyhelminthes; Cestoda; Cyclophyllidea; Taeniidae.
UGUAAAGUAGUUUAUAAAAAUGUCUGUUUUACACACAGGAGAACUCGUUUGAGCUUUACUAUGG